RNAcentral lists this long non-coding RNA (604 nucleotides) under Phoenix dactylifera (date palm). RNAcentral's name for it is "long non-coding RNA (PDAC_LNC008028)". The record is from RNAcentral. Lineage: Eukaryota; Viridiplantae; Streptophyta; Magnoliopsida; Arecales; Arecaceae.
UCGGAUGCAAUGAUGCUUGAUUAAGGCAAGUCCAUUAGGUCGCGGAUUGUAUGCCCUAGAGAAGUUCAAUGUGAUUUGAUACUUCUCACCAAAUUUGUCCAUGGUUUAGUUCUUGAAUGGAGAACAAAAUGCAGGGAUCCCAUAUCUAUAGAUGAUAUUGGUGGCUGCAAAAGUGGGUAGAGCAAUAGGAGCGGUAAGCAAAGAAAGCGGUUGUCGAUAAAACUCUAUUCAAAUUCAAGGUAGUCUGCUUCGACUUUGAAUCACAAGGAGCGAUUGUGAGGAAUCACCAUUCUAAAAAUAGUUCAAUCAUUUAAAUUUUCAUUCUAUGAUUGCUUUGCUCCCGCAAAGACAAAGGAGAUUUAUAGAGACUUGGCCUUGAUUUUUCCAACUAAAGUUUGAUAGAAGAAUAGCAUGCAAUGCGCAUGAUUUUCAAUAGCUUUCACAUUUGCGGUAGAUUGAAUACUCACCCAACUACUACGUAGAUUCGCUAGCGACUAUAGCUGUUAUCCCCCCUACUUACUUCAAUUAAAGCUCACAACUAUGUACUACUGAAUGGCUCGUUCCGACCGAUACGUACCAUGACUACUAAUUCAAAGUCUUCUUG